CAUAAGUCUAUUCAGAUGAUCCAUCUAGAUGGAAAAAUGAACAAUGCCAAUAUUACCUAGAUGUAUCAUUUGCGUGAAGCAUGUAAAUGGAUCAUUUGGAUGGAGAUGACAUAUGACGAAACGAACGAUUCCUUAUACUUAAAAUUUCAUUUUUUAGAUUUCUCAAAAGUUAAGAUAUUGGAUGAUUAUAACAUGCAAGUUGAAUCCUUUAAGACAAAUCUGUUCAUGUAACUCAGGAAAGAUAGAGUUUUGAUUAGAUUUAUGUUGUUCUUGGCGAAAAGAUAGACUUUGAAGUUAAGUCUCAUUCUCUUUAGGUUAUUUUGUACAGAUCAGGACUAGUAACUGCUGCUGCUUCCUUUGUAGCUGCUUCUUCUGCAGCCUUUUUACCAGAGAAUUCAUGGUUAAGUGAAAUAAUCAGGUUUCAUAUCUGUAGACAAUACUAAUUUUCUUCAUUUGCAUUUUUUUUUGUCUGCAGGGCUCUGUUAUGAUAAGCUAGAAGCUGGCCUUCUUACGUUCAUCAUACCCUCAAUACUUUUCAGGCAUAGGAUUUUUAUUUUACGCACAAAUAAAAUCCUCGGAAAGAGGUGAGAGAAAAACCCUCUCGAGUCUCUUUUCCUAGCCGCCGCUCUCCGUUUUGCCUCCUCUGGUGGCCGUCGGUGGUCUAGAACCGUCGGUCGCCACCCCAAACCGUUCCUCUGUCCAACCUCAUCCCUGUUGAGCCCCGAUUCACUCACAUCCUCCUUGCUUAUCAGCUCUAGUUCUUCGUUAGGAUAGCGGCCAGAUCCGGCGAAUCAAAACGGUCAAUGGGUGCGUACCCAGCCUCUUCGGAGUGAUGGCGAGGAGAUGAAUGUUCGUAGCUCAGCAGGAGGACGGUAGAUCUAGAGUUUCAUUUUCGGAUAGGUCUGGGUCAGACCUUCUUUGGAGGCUUCGUCGGUGCUACAGGGUGUCGCUGCCUCUGUUUUCCGGUUAGCUUCGCCUCCUAUGUCUCCCUUUCUCUCCAUCUAUCGGUUGCUUGCUAGAACUUCCCCGUUCUGACCCUCGGGUCUGAGACGAAAGGCGAUGUUGAGGGCUUUGCUGGGGACUUCUCCUCUGUUCAGACUUCGCAACAGCUACCAUGGUGAUUUGAGGGGCUUGGAUUUGUCUUGUGGACGAGAUAGCUCAGGGUCUGCCGUUCUCUGUUUUGUCUCUGCCUGCGACGAGUCUUAUCCUCUCCGCCUGCUGAUGGGAGUUCGUUCUCCUCCGUUUCCUUAGUUUCAGAAGAAAGAUGCCCGCCGUGCCGUGCCCUUCUCGACUCCCAGCAGCUAGAUCCUCUUGUGCUCUGCUCGUUUCGACGGGACCGGAGUUCAGCCGUAUAUUCCUCUGCUUCCGUCUGCUAGUAUCUCACCUGUGCUUAAGCUACUGGCCUCUUUGAGUCGGUUUGGAUUCUCAUGGUCCGUUUCGCCACCUUUCGGGAGUGUGCUUCGUCUGGAGUGGACUGCAGUGGAUGUGAUUGCCGGACCAGGACCUAGUCAACCCUGCUUCGCCUAUCCUCCUGUCGCAGUCGCCUUUGGGACAGUUCGCGGUGCCUCGGACUGUUCUCCGGUUGCUAACCCCUAUGACCUCUUCUCUUGCUGCAGGUUCCGGUAUCAAGACCAAGAAGUGAUCUACUGAAACCAAAUGAUUGGUCUUAUGAAUGAUGAGGCGAAACUGGUGUCUCUAGGAACAUGGAUGGCACUCUUUGUAGUAUUUACUGGAAGAAAAUUCACUCAGCCUAUAAAGGAUGACAUUGGGGAUAAAUCUGUUUCCAUGUUCAUGGCUCUUCCGGAAGAUGAGAAAUCAAAAAAAAAAAAGAUGUACAAACUGUUUAUGGCAGCGUCUCUCCUCAUUGUGUAUAUAUAUAUAUAACCUACGGGUACAUCAUUGAUACUUGCAUGUUCUUGACGUACUUAAAACAUUCUGUAAUCGUUCAGAGUCUUAACCAGAAUUUUCUUGCUCGAGUUUUGCAACUACAGCCUUCUUCUCAUCUUCCGGAAGAGCCAUGAACAUGAAAAC
This is a long non-coding RNA of Brassica napus (rape), 2031 nucleotides long. RefSeq lists it as uncharacterized. The transcript is spliced from 3 exons. The record is from RefSeq and is a predicted model, not a curated record. Lineage: Eukaryota; Viridiplantae; Streptophyta; Magnoliopsida; Brassicales; Brassicaceae.